GCAAUGACAUCACAACAUAAUUUAGCAACUUUUAGCCACAAAUCAACCUGCCUCUAGCAACUUACCCUGAAAAUUAGUUGGCAACACUGCCUCCAAUAGCUACUCUACCCUUCUGUCAAAGUGGCUGCGCCAAGUGGCACACAUCCGAUAGCAUUUUUAACGUCCUUUGAUUUGAAUUCUUUGAAUAACGUCUCGGCGGCAACUGCCAUUGCCUCCUUGUAUAGCUCUCCAUCGGUGAACGAUUUAUUGUUUAGCCAAGAGAUGGCCGACACGGAAGGAUGCCUCUGUUGCAGCCUUACUUUUAGCUGUCGGUUUGGUAAAAAGCGAAUGCUGUGCUUUCAAGACAGACUUGAGCUUGUCAACUUUCUUUGAACUAAGCGUGCUCUUUAGCGGGUAGGUUUCUUUGAACUUGGAUGGUGUGCUGUCGAUCCACCUUACCCCUUUUUGCGAGCGCUACAGCCUGGUGACAAAUCAGGCAAAUCCUUUCAUCCCUAACUACGGUGAACAGAAAACCGUGUCCCCAUUCUACAUGAAAAUACGUUUUUUUGCUUUUUCCGUUGUGCCUCCGCUGUCGUUUCGUUAGCUUGCGUAUUGUUAGCUUGAUAGCUCGUGAGCGUUACAACAAGUGCCUGAGCUAGUUAAGGCGGAUAUACCCCUCCCUCGCCCCUCAUCACUACACACAGGGCUCACACGUGGCACAUUUGAAAUUAAAUUCAUAAAUAAUAAGAAUAAAUUAAAACAUUUAGACAUUUCUUUUUUUUCCUUUUUUUCUGAUUUUGAAAUCUCCUCGUGAUUGACUUGGAAUGCUUCCAAGAUCGGCUUGUCGACAGUGAUCAACGGGUUGGUGACUCCUGGUUUAAACCAUGACAGAGAGGAGAAACGUGUUGGCCUGCAAGUGGGAGGGUUUUCAGCAGUUAAAUUAAAUGUAUUCAGCGUCCGCAAGGGAACCACGCCUGCAAAGCCCAUUACGCAUCUGCACAAGGCUAGUAAUGAACGUGUUACUACAGAAGUGUCCAAGAGUGGACAGGCUGUCAGUGUAAACUUGACCCUUUGAUCGCCAAAGUCCAGGAUGCAUAAAGGUAACAUUAGGUAACAAGCAUUUCACUACACACGCAAUAACAUCUGCUAAACACGUGUAUGUGACCAAUAAUUGUUUUGAAUUACGCCUGGC
RNAcentral lists this long non-coding RNA (1171 nucleotides) under Salmo salar (Atlantic salmon). RNAcentral's name for it is "lncRNA (ENSSSAG00000089889.1)". Lineage: Eukaryota; Metazoa; Chordata; Actinopteri; Salmoniformes; Salmonidae. The record is from RNAcentral.